RNAcentral lists this ribosomal RNA (698 nucleotides) under uncultured soil bacterium. RNAcentral describes it as "bacterial SSU rRNA". It matches the Rfam family "Bacterial small subunit ribosomal RNA", at positions 37 to 726 of the family's 1533-position model. The record is from RNAcentral.
UGGCGGCACGCCUAACACAUGCAAGUCGAGCGGUAGCAUGAUUUGUAGCAAUACAGAUUGAUGACAAGCGGCGGACGGGUGAGGAACACGUAGGAACUUGCCCUCAAGCGGGGGACAACCAAGGGAAACUUUGGCUAAUACCGCAUAAUCUCGAAAGAGAAAGGCUACCCGCAAGGGCGGCACUUGAGGAGAGGCCUGCGUCCGAUUAGCUAGUUGGUAGGGUAAAAGCCUACCAAGGCGAUGAUCGGUAACUGGUCUGAGAGGACGACCAGUCACACUGGGACUGAGACACGGCCCAGACUCCUACGGGAGGCAGCAGUGGGGAAUAUUGGACAAUGGGGGCAACCCUGAUCCAGCGAUGCCGCGUGAGUGAAGAAGGCCUUCGGGUCGUAAAGCUCUUUAGGUUGGGAAGAAGGGUAUUCGGUGCAUAGCCGAGUAUUUUGACGGUACCGACAGAAUAAGCACCGGCAAACUCUGUGCCAGCAGCCGCGGUAAUACAGAGGGUGCGAGCGUUAAUCGGAAUUACUGGGUGUAAAGGGAGCGUAGGCGGCAAGAUGUGUGUGAUGUGAAAGCCCCGGGCUUAACCUGGGAAGUGCAUUGCAAACUAUCUGGCUAGAGUAUAUGAGAGGGUGGCGGAAUUUCCGGUGUAGCGGUGAAAUGCGUAGAGAUCGGAAGGAACGUCAAUGGCGAAGGCAGCC